AUGGGCCAGCGAGAAUCCCAUGAAGCCACGGGCCACGAUAACACCGCUGAUGAAUUCAUCAGCGGGCUACCCGACGACAUCCUCGGCACCAUAAUCUCCCUUCUCCCCACCAAGGACGGCGGUCGCACAUCGGCCCUCUCCCGCCGAUGGCGCUAUCUGUGGUGCUCCACGCCUCUCAACCUCGAGGUUCGCACUCAACCCCGUGGUGUCCACAUCCCCACCUCCUAUGUCCACCCCGCAGUCGUCUCCAAGGUGGAGGACUGGUUCAACUCCCAAGCCCUCACUGGCCUCCAAGAGCUCGAUAUCAGCUACCAUCGGUUCCAUCAGACAUACCCGCUACCGCCAUCCGCACUCUGCUCUGUAGCCACCCUCCUCAUUGCCAAGAUCGGCAAUUGUGUUUUCCCCAACAAGAUUGUGUCAUCCUUGAACUUUCCCUUCCUCAAGCAGCUCACCCUAUUUUACAUUUCCUUCUCAGUGGACGGCUUCCACAGAUUUCUCUCUGGAUGCCAUGCCUUGGAGAGCUUAGACAUGUCUGAUGUUCGUGGUGUGGGUUGCCUCCAUGUUAGCUCGCGAACUCUUAGGACCAUCGGUUUCCAUGAUAGUGCUAGUAAAAAAGCAUAA
RNAcentral lists this ribosomal RNA (621 nucleotides) under Triticum aestivum (bread wheat). Its description in RNAcentral is "partial small subunit ribosomal RNA". The record is from RNAcentral. Lineage: Eukaryota; Viridiplantae; Streptophyta; Magnoliopsida; Poales; Poaceae.